UACGGGGGGUGCAAGCGUUGUUCGGAUUUACUGGGCGUAAAGGGUGCGUAGGCGGCGCGGUAAGUCGGGUGUGAAAUCUUGGAGCUUAACUCCGAAACUGCAUUCGAUACUGCAGUGCUUGAGGACUGGAGAGGAGACUGGAAUUUACGGUGUAGCGGUGAAAUGCGUAGAUAUCGUAAGGAAGACCAGUGGCGAAGGCGGGUCUCUGGACAGUUCCUGACGCUGAGGCGCGAAAGCGUGGGGAGCAAACAGG
Molecule: ribosomal RNA, 253 nt
Filed under: uncultured bacterium
Lineage: Bacteria
Description: partial 16S ribosomal RNA
Rfam family: Bacterial small subunit ribosomal RNA
Source: RNAcentral